GGAUUCCUUAUUCAAAAAUUAUAAAGAAUUUCAAGACGGCUACAGUAGAGCUUUAAACUAUGUGUCGGGGUCCUUCUAAAUGCAGGGCCCUGUGAGACUGCACAGAUCACACACCUGUGAAGUCAGCCCUAUAUAUGCAUAUGUAAGUGUGUAUGUGUGUGUUGUCGAGGACAUGUGUGCUUCUUCUUGGAGGAAUGCAUAAAGAUACCAUUGUCUUUUAUUCUUCCACCUCAAUUUUAGAGACUAGAUAAAUCUGCAUAUGAGGGCCUGGCCCCUUUUUAGUACUUUUCAGCCUCGGAUAGUGGUGGAAAACAUGUGAAUCCUAGUUCAAAUUUCCUCUCACUCUUUGUAGGGUUGUGAGCCCAUUAUGUAUUUUUUCUGUGCCUCAUCUUUUCAACUCGAAAAUGGGGACAUAAGGUACACUUAGUCAUGGAGUUAUUAAGGAGAUUAAAAUAAAUCCGUUAAUAUUAGUGAAGUGCCUGGAGUAAGCCUUCCCAUAGCUCUAUGUAAGCAGCUGUUAAAGUAAAAAUUUUGAAGCCUUUAUUAUGUGAGAACUUAAACUUAAACCUCCUCCCAUGUUAAGUAAGGACCAGGGAACUAUUAAGCUUCCCCCUAAGGGAACCAUUUACGACCACAGCCCUUUCUGGGUCAGGAAGGGCAUGUUGAUUUGAAAGUCCCCUAACGUGUUAAUGGAUGCUAACAAAAGACUUCCUAUUCAGGAAGCAAAGGACACCUGGGGCUGACCACCCUCACUCUUCACUGAUGUUUCCUGCUUUUGUUAAAUAUAAAGUAAAUAAAUCAAAAUAAACAAAAAGAAAGCCAAUAACAACAACUACCAAACAUCAGUAUAUCCUUUUAGUUGCUAUGGCUCCUUAAAGGACUGGAGAAUUGUCUGGAAGCAAAAUCAGUUGACUCCUAAACUCUUAAGAGAUUUUAUUGCUAUUAUGGUGCAGAAGAAGUGCUAAAGAGCCAUAUCACCUAGCUCAACAGCGUGGAAAUUGGAAACGCUGUCUUGUAAUGUCUGGAUAGGGAAGACAAGAGUCUAUGACCUGAAAGAGAGGGGGACAGAGAAUAUAUUUCCAUUUGCCAAUUACAGACACAUGUCCAGUGCAGAUGAUUGUCUUUAUGUUUUCUAACUUGGACCAUCAAACAUCCUUUCAUUCCACAGUCUUCCUCAGAUUAGCAUCUGGUGUCCUUGUUUUGCAUCCUCUCUUCACCUUGCCUUGAGUCUUCAAAGCCAACUUUAAAUGGACUGUUUUUCCUUAGCCUUCCCCUUAAUCAUAAUAAUUAAAAAGUCCAUGAAAUUAUGGUUUUGAUAACUUUUUUCUAAAAAUCAUACUAAAACAAAUAUAUAACUAUUUAAUUUUUUAAAAGUUUGUCCACAUCUCUCCUACAAUCUCUUGAACUACCAGGGUUCUGAUCUAAGAGAAGCUAGAAUCUACAGAUGUUAACACAACUCCAUGGAGGCCUGAAGCAAGAAGCUUCAUAGGGUGUGAAGGGGCAGGUGGGCCAGGCAGCAGGUGAAGGCCAUGCUCUAGAAGUGAGAUGCUGGGCAGGUCUCUCCUUUCUCCAUGCAUAAAGCAGAUGGGGAAAUGAUGGGGUGAGAAUUCACUUAGGGCUACGAAUUGCUGGGAGGUGUUUUGGGUAGCAACGAAAAACAAGUAACAGCAACAAAGAAGGCUGGACAAAAUCAUGUAUACUAUCGAACUGAAAUCUCAGCAGCAAUAACUUGAGGACCCAGGAAACUGCCAAGUCCUCAAAAGCCUUGACUUUCAGAGCUCUUGCCGGAGUAGCAAUAGGAGUGGUGGGAAAUCAAGAAAGUCAGACAUUCCAGAGUGUCCUAAAAAGAGUGUCAUCAAAAGCAUCUGAGCAUGGGAUCGAUGCUGGGCUAAAGGACUACGGAAUCCACAAGGAGCUGAAGGACGGGAGAAGCAGGAGGGCCUAUGGGUCAGUAUGGGCUGAGGAAGGUGUUCAGUGAGUAUAGGUGUGUGAGAAGAUCAAACAGACAAAGUAACAGACACACGCACACACAGAGCCAUACAGAGACACACACCUUUCUUUCUAAGAUUUUUUUUUAAGUCUAUAGAACUUUGAAUUGAUUUGACAUCCCCUCUUUAAAUAAGAGGGGACAUUCCCUCUUUUGAUAUAAGCUCUGAAAUGCAUAAGAAAUUCCUUGUAAAAAUUUACAGUCUUUUUGAAUGGAUGUUUUUUAAUAUUUUCAAUUACAGAUUUAUGGCAGAAUUUUUCAUAGGCCUGAAUUGUCUGUUUAAUAUUAAAAUGAUUUUUGUAGGGAGCCAUCUGUUAUAUGAUCAGGCAUGGAAAUUCUUUACAGGGCUUUCCAUCAGCACUCCUCCAGUGUUUGUCAUGCUUCAAAUAUCCCCAGGCACUUGUGUUUCCAUUUAGAGGAGCAAGGUAAAGGACUCAGAGGCAGGACAUGAUGUCUCCUCGAUUGUUCAGCAGCUGUUACUGAAAACACUGUGUUCGGCAUAUGUUUUUUCCCCAACCUAAGCUCAAUGUUUUCCUUUACUAUGACAAAACAAUAUCCUGAGAAAAAGGACAGUUUAUUAAUCUUUGAAUCUCGUAUCAGAACAAACUUUGCUCAUUGCACUAAUCAACUCACGUUUUUCUUCAAAGCUGUUUUAUCCUCUAAAAAUGGUAAAACUUCGGCUCAUUUUCCCCAUGAGUACUAUUCCCCUGAGUGCAAUUUCAUCGGAGCUAACUCUAUUUUACCAAGUAGAUUUCAUCUCAAGUGCUCCCUUUGAAUCACUGGGCUGGGAGCUGCCUGAAAAAGAAUGUGGGAAGGAUUUCGAGGGUGAGCUCAGGGUCAGUGGAGAGUACUACAAUUGAUUACUUAUGUCUGCUUUGGGUGUAGAAGUAGUGAGCAUGAGACACAUGUGCCCUUUAUUUGCUGUCUCUGGCCUUUACAGUUUCUAUGUCCCUCAAUUACUGUGCUCAUUAAUAAGCAUUGUGAAAUGGCUGGCCUUGAGGCAAACAUACACAAAAAAAAUCAACCUCUCUAUCUGGGAAACAAGCUUGACCCUGACAUCACAAUAACGUUAACAACAACAAUAAUAGCAGCUACAUUUGUUGAACAUUUGCUGUAAGCCCCACUGUAGGUAAUUUACUAACAUUAAAUCAUUUCAUUUAUUCCCCACAAACUACCACAAUAUACAUAUUAUUCACCCAGAUUUUUGACUAAGUCUCAAAAAAUGAAGUAACUUUACUGAGUUCACCCUUUUGCUCAACACAUCCGCACAAAUUCGUAUUGUUCUGGAUACCUAGAACCAUCACUCCCUUCCAUAACCACUCAGUCAUUUUCCUCCUUACAUUCAAAUCCUAGCAGUCUCUCCCUCUAUACAUAGCUCCUCAUCCUGGAAGACUCCUUGAUAAAGCAGAGAGAAAGACUAGCUUCAGAUCAGCUAAGUUGGACAUUCUCUGAGCCAUGACGCGCUCUUCUCUGUAGCUAUAUUAUUUCACAUGACCCAUUCUUAAUAAUUCAGCCUAACCAUCUGUUUGUUCAAUUCCAUUUAAGAAUUUUUCUUUGUAAUGGUUUUGUCAAUUGUCUGCAUUUUGAAUUUAAUUAAAUUGUUAUAUAUCUCAAUUAGGUAGUCAAUUCAAAACACUUAGUGGAUCCAAUCUGAGCUUUUCAAUAGCUGGUCAAAAUAAAUAAUCAAUGCCAUUCACCUAAUGGUCCUUCCAUGAAAAUUAGCUGUGACCUUAGUGGUAAAAAUAUGGUAAAAUGAUUUAUGGUCAUAUCCCUCUAUAUAAGAGAGAAGCAGACAAUCAUAAUUUUUAAGAGGUGUCUGUGUCCAGUUCCCUGGUGUAGUUCUUAAUGCCAAGAGAGCCAAAAGCCCCCUGUUGAUCACUGGCUUUAAAAUUCUCCAUUAUAGGUGUGAGUUAGCCAAUCGUAUCGUCCCAUCUCAUUUGCCUGGUGAUGUAUAGACUUGACUUUAGUUCCCAUUUACACCUUGCAGAAACCAAUAAUAGUUCUCUUCCUCUUGAAAAAAAAUAAACAGAAAUAUCAAAAGGAAAUACCUUUAUAGGGUGGAGACAGGACUGGAUGAGUUGUGUAUCACUGUUUACAUCCAAAUCAAAUAACGGGAAAGAAAACAAUUAGUCAAGUUCAUACUCUAGGUUCUGUUUAAUGUGUCUGUUUUCAAGCCUGUUCAAGCUAUUUUGCCUGAGCAAAGCUUUUGUUUGCCUUCUUAAGGUUUACUUUGCUUUGAGACCUUAGCGCAUGAACUGGUUUGGCAAACUUGUCUCUCUGAGGCAAAACUUGAAAAGCGAGACAUUCAAACACUUGUAAAAUGUAGAUUUUUGCUUUUACUAAAGUCCAUUCCAGGUCUAAUCUAGGUUCACUCUCUUUUACCCAACAGUUCCCUGGGCAGAAAUGUGAUCCUAGCCCAUUCACAAUCUGACUCUUCCGUUUCCCAGGAUGCACAUUAUCUAAUGUUUGAGCUUCAAUGCUGAUUUACCAUUACCAGAACUCUUGCUGCUGCUCGCUCUUUGGGUCCACGCUGCCUUUAGGAGCUGUAACACUCACGGCGAAGGUCCGCAGCUUCACUCCUGAGCCAGCGAGACCACGAGCCCACCGGGAGGAAAGAACAACUCCAGACGCGCCGCCUUAAGAGCUGUAACACUCACCGUGAAGGUCCGCAGCUUCACUCCUGAGCCGGCGAGACCACGAACCCACCAGAAGGAAGAAACUCCAAAGACGUUCAAACAUCAGAAGGAACAAACUCCGGACACGCCACCUUUAAGAACUGUAACACUCACCGCGAGGGUCCAUGGCUUCAUUCUUGAAGUCAGUGAGAUCAAGAACACACCAAUUCUGGACCCAGUAUCUCCCCAUACCCUAACUCCUUUCCCAAAGUAGGCAGAAAAACAGCCCUGUUGUUCCGGUGGAAGCCUUAGCUCUGUAUUCCUUUUAGACUGUAUUUCAAAACGCAUUAUUAGAGCCCCAAAGUCACCUGGUGAAAGAAUGUGAGAGCUGGAAGUGGCCUCAAAAUCCAGUUGAACCCUCUUAUUUCAUAUGUUUGGAAACUGAGCACUAGAAAAGAUGACUGCUGGAGCUCCUGCCUACUCCAGGAUGGCAGGAAGAAGGAAGGAAAGAAAAAGGCACACCUCUCCACUUUUAAGUAGCUUUGCUAGAACUCUCACAAAACACUUGUAUUACAUCUCAUCAGACUAUAAAUUCAAAGAAGACCAGGAAAUGUAGCUAUUAUCUGGACAACACUGGCCCAGCUAAAACUCAGAUUUCUGUUCCUACUGGAGAAGAAAAGACUAGAUAUUGGGAGGUAACUGGAAGUUUCUCCUGAGCAGGAUUUAGGUAUUAUACAAAACAACACGUUACUCUCUUGAUAUCUGUUUCCCUCAAUAUUUUAAAGCAAAUCUACUUAAAGCAGAGACCAAGUUUUUAUAGUGAAUGGUAAGGGGGAAGUUUUGAGUGGAAUUUUACCAUGAAAAAUGAUACUAAAAUUGUGAAAGCAUAUUUUAUUUUAUAUUUAAUGUAAUUUAGGUUAUAAUAUCCAUUAUUUAUUAGGGUUUUUUUGCCAAGAAUGAGUUAAGUG
This 5570-nucleotide long non-coding RNA is filed under the name Homo sapiens (human). RNAcentral describes it as "HSALNT0146142". Lineage: Eukaryota; Metazoa; Chordata; Mammalia; Primates; Hominidae. The record is from RNAcentral.